AGGUAGUUAGCUCAGUUGGUUAGAGCAUUUGGCUUAUAUCCAAGCGGUCGGGGGUUCAAGUCCCUCACUACCUA
This 74-nucleotide transfer RNA is filed under the name Bacteriophage sp. RNAcentral's name for it is "tRNA-Ile". It matches the Rfam family "tRNA". Rfam says of the family: Transfer RNA (tRNA) molecules are approximately 80 nucleotides in length. Their secondary structure includes four short double-helical elements and three loops (D, anti-codon, and T loops). The record is from RNAcentral.